This 549-nucleotide ribosomal RNA is filed under the name uncultured bacterium. RNAcentral's name for it is "bacterial SSU rRNA". It matches the Rfam family "Bacterial small subunit ribosomal RNA", at positions 356 to 896 of the family's 1533-position model. The record is from RNAcentral.
AGGGAAUCUUCGGCAAUGGACGGAAGUCUGACCGAGCAACGCCGCGUGAGUGAAGAAGGUUUUCGGAUCGUAAAGCUCUGUUGUAAGAGAAGAACGAGUGUGAGAGUGGAAAGUUCACACUGUGACGGUAUCUUACCAGAAAGGGACGGCUAACUACGUGCCAGCAGCCGCGGUAAUACGUAGGUCCCGAGCGUUGUCCGGAUUUAUUGGGCGUAAAGCGAGCGCAGGCGGUUAGAUAAGUCUGAAGUUAAAGGCUGUGGCUUAACCAUAGUACGCUUUGGAAACUGUUUAACUUGAGUGCAAGAGGGGAGAGUGGAAUUCCAUGUGUAGCGGUGAAAUGCGUAGAUAUAUGGAGGAACACCGGUGGCGAAAGCGGCUCUCUGGCUUGUAACUGACGCUGAGGCUCGAAAGCGUGGGGAGCAAACAGGAUUAGAUACCCUGGUAGUCCACGCCGUAAACGAUGAGUGCUAGGUGUUAGACCCUUUCCGGGGUUUAGUGCCGCAGCUAACGCAUUAAGCACUCCGCCUGGGGAGUACGACCGCAAGGUUG